ACAAGAAAUCAAUGUCAACGCCGACGACAUUUACCGACUACAUCUCUCCUCGGUAAAUUUAUGAUGGGUUUCUGAUCAAUUUCCGAGAACAUAUGAUUAUUCUCGGAAUAUUAUCGGGACUUUGCGAUAAAUCAAUAUUCUCGGUGUUUUGUCAUAAACUAAAGUCGGUAAGUUGUCGGAAAGAAAAGAAAAUAGCGAGGAGCUUGUUUUCUCGGAAAGUUCCUAGAAUAUGUUGUCGGUAUCUUCUCAGGCCAUUCAAGAUCCCGACGAUUAAUUUUCUUCUCGGUACGUCGUCACAAAAACUGACAAAAAUUCGUCGGAGUUCUCUUGGUUUGGCAACUGAACUGUUUCCUACCAUUUAUCGAUUUAGUUGAGAUCCCACAUCUCUAUUUUUCCCAAUUCGAUUUCUCUUGAUAUCUUCAAAGACGGUAUAAAAUUAAAAACACGUGGCUUACCCAGAUGUGUUGUUGGAAAAAAGGAAGGGUCUGGAUGCAGAGCUUGAAACUUUUGUGGAGAUCGUAAAGUAAGAAAAAGAUAUAGUAUUUAAUUUUUCUAUUUUUUCCCUAUUUCUUUUACUUAGAAUAGAUCUGUCACUGUGACAAAAAAAAAAGAAUAGAUCUGUCAAAGAAUAGAUCUUCCCUUACGCAACGGUGUAAAGCGACUCUUCACGAGCUUCGGUUUCGUGUCUUCGGCUGGCCCCCUAGCAGUUGCUCUGUCUAGUGAUCUCUGCCGCCGGUUUAGUUUCCGUUCUGGACAGGGAGUUGGAGGAAAUGGUGAUGCUGCUUGUACUGAUUCUUCCAGUUUGGCCCCGAUUUGUUUUUUCUUUGAAGAAACUCUACCUAAGACCUCUUUACACCACCGCCUAAACUCCUUACACUGCCAUCGUCACCGCCAACUCCCUCCACCGCUAUUUCUGCUACCCCACCGUUACCGGCACCUUCGCAUCCUACACCAACACCGUCGCAUCUACACCAAUUAUUAAUAGGUUUAUUUUUAUUUCAUUUAGUUUUUGUAGACUUCUAAAUUUAAUUUGUUUAUUUUUUAUUUCGUUUAAUUGUUUUAGACUUUUAAAUUUAAUUUGUUUAUUUGUAAUAAAUAUUUGAUAUUUAAUAUUAUUGUGAGGUUUUUUAUA
This is a long non-coding RNA of Raphanus sativus (radish), 1132 nucleotides long. RefSeq lists it as uncharacterized. The transcript is spliced from 2 exons. Lineage: Eukaryota; Viridiplantae; Streptophyta; Magnoliopsida; Brassicales; Brassicaceae. The record is from RefSeq and is a predicted model, not a curated record.